RNAcentral lists this unclassified non-coding RNA (5274 nucleotides) under Limulus polyphemus (Atlantic horseshoe crab). RNAcentral's name for it is "uncharacterized LOC106464780, transcript variant X2". The record is from RNAcentral. Lineage: Eukaryota; Metazoa; Arthropoda; Merostomata; Xiphosura; Limulidae.
AACGUUUGACUGAAAAUUUAGUAAGAGAUACGCUAACUAUAUAAAUUGGGCAAAAAUAUACUUAUGUGUGAAAGAGCAUUGUCAUUAAAGUAAAUUAUCAGUUUUUUGUUACUAUCAAAUGGCAUUAACGAAACUAAAAGACUAAGUUUAGAACUAAAAGUAAAAGCAGCUUUAAAUUUUAAUUUUAUAUUAGAAUAAAAGUUAUUUUGAAGUGACUCUGACAGUUGGUUUUAGAUCAUCCGAUGUAAAUUCUUUUAAUUUCGUCCAGGUUACUGCAGUGCAGUGCAACUGCAUGUAAAUAUGCAAUUUAAUUUAUUUGUUCUUUGAUCAAGACAUUAUGUAAUUGUUACGUAAUUUAACACAGUUCAGUAUUAUAUACCUUUUUAGAGGUUAUAAUACUAAUACAAACAUAGAAAAUUAAAACAUAUAAGAAUUUUAAUAUCAAUAUCAUUAUUAUCAAACUAUAUGAUUAUGAGGCCUAUAAUUUAGAAACUACAAUUUAAACUUAAAGGAAGUAUUAUAAUAAUCAUUAAUAUUGCUUCCUGCCUGUGUACUGUGUCAGGAGUAACAGUAACAGCAUUAUAUCAGAUUUGACAUGGAGCAAGAGGAAAUGCAGAUUAACUGUUGAACUAGCAAUGCACCAAUGGCUAGCCUGGUGGGGAGUGUUGGAAUCCCUCCACAACCCAGUACUGGCUUCUUGCGAAAAUGUGCAAAGGAGCAGGAAAAAUUACGCACCAAACUUGAGAGGAAGUUGCAGAAUGACAUGCUUAAGUUGUUAGAUGAAGGAUCAUUCUCUGAUAUCGUUAUCAAGUCAUCAGUUUUACAAACACCUUUAUCAGUUAAAGCUCACGAGGGCAUACUAAGAGUUCGGGUGCCGACAUUUUACACUGAACUUUGCCAUAAUCAAAAGAAUAGAAAUGAUAUCUAUGAUUCUAAUCUGGAUAAUGUGGAAUUAUUGUGUUUUUUAAGGAAGGUUUACUCAGAAGAUGACAUCAGAAGAUAUGAAUGUGAGGCUGUUUGGUUGAGCAAGAAGUCUUCAGAAGCUGAGAAGUUGAGUAGUGUUGUUUCUCCAAUGCAACAGACAUUUUCUACGUCUAAAGUUGAUGAACAAGACAAUGUUGUAGUUUCUAGUGGCUACUUAUCAUCAAAUGGUGAUAUUUAUAUAACACCUACAUGUAGUCCACUGUCUCCAGAGAAAAAAGCCAUUUGUGUGCCUGAAGAAGUUCUCAAAACGACAGUCACUCAACAGGAAUCAAAGAGAGAUGUACACAGUGUGACUUCACUUCAUGAAUUACACCUAGUCAUGGAAACCAAAGAUAAUGAGAAGCUAGUCAAAGAAUGUAAUAUUUUAAAUGAUGACAGUUGCACUGCUUGGAGAAUCAACGUACCUGAGCAAGAAAGUAGGAAAGAGUUAAACUCAGCUGGAGCACCUUCUCAAGAUCCGUUUACUUCAAAGGGAUUGUCUUCUGAGGUAUGUUUAGAGGCAAGCAUUGAAAGCUCCGUACUGUCCUCUGGCCACGUUGAAUCUUCUGUAGAUAACUUACAAGAUAGACAGUACAUUCCUCAAAUUAGAAAUUACAGUAUACCCAGAAGUGACACUUUUGAACUCAAAAGUUCUUCUCAACAACAAAACUCAACUGAAUCUCUGAUAGAAAAAGAAGAUGACAUCAUAGCUCCUCUGUCUGACAGCUUAGACACAAAACUAAAAACGGAGCAGAAAAAGGAGUCCUUUUUCCUUCAUGAGCAGACAAGUAUCUUGACAGAUAGAGUUGAAAUAAAUGAACCUAGUGUAGUAACUACUCAUGCACGAACUUUUUCAGGUCAUCAUGUUGAUGGAGGCAUGACAGACUCUGGUUUUAUGUCUCAAACCCAGUCUUUGAUGUCUGAUACAGACAUGCAUUCUUCCCUAAUAUCAUCAGUGAUGACGUGUACAUGCAUGAAACCUUCCCAUAAUGAAAAAGUAAUUGAGAAUAUAUCUGAAAACAAACCAUUGUCUUCUUCAGUAUGUUCAGGAUCACUGUUUCCAAUGUAUAUUGACAUGAAAAGUGUUGUUCCACAGGAAAGUGUUACAGGUAAAACACAGAAGCAUCAGAAACAGCAAGGUGUAUACAUGUACAUAGAUGCUACUCCUACUGGUGUUGAUGAUACACAAGAAGAUUCCUCCCAAGAGUUCCAGAAGACUUCAAAUGUAGCUGCAAUUAAAAGACAAAAUGUAAUAAGUCAAGAAAAAGCUAAUGGAAAAAGUUCACGGUCUGAAAAGGUUAACUCGUGUUACAUGUAUGUAGACCUUGAUUCAAUUACUUCAGAAGAUGCUGAGAAAUUACAAGAAACUCAACAGAAAAACAAAGAAAAGAAGAAUCCGAUGUCAGUAUCCAUGUUUGUUGAAAUAAAUGGAGAAAUGAAUGAUAGUGUGAGAGCUGCACAGGAAAUGUACAGUAGUCUUAUUGACCAAAACACUGGAAAGUUGGAAGAAGGUGGACUUCUCAAUGAAGCUGUCUCAGUGCCUCAAGAAUCACUGUCUGGAAAGGUUCACCAACAAGAAAAACAAAUACAGUUAAGUCCAAUAAAGCACCAGGAACCUGUACCGUCAACAUAUUUACAGUCAGAAAAGAAAGAAGAAAUUACAAGUGAAUCUGAGACACAACACGAAGAACCUGAUGCUUUUGUCAAGAUUGUAAACACAUAUCAGACAUACUUAUUACCAAUGAGCCCAAUAAUGAAACGUAAGGAAGUAAAACAAGAGACAGUGAGUUCAUCACCUGAUCAUAUAGUUGUCAAACCUUCAAUAAAACCACAGGAUGUCACUGCUUUAGCUUUUCCUGUGAGUGGUCCUGUACUGGCUUCAAGAUCUCCCAGCAGGGACUCUUUGGAAGAAACCUGUGGACAAAAAAUUGAACAGAGUGACACAAAAGAAUAUAGUUGUGAAGGUGAUAAGAAUCAAUUGAAAAUUGUUGAAACUAAGAAAAUCCAACAAAAAGCUGAGAUUAAGCAUGAAAAAAAGAAAUCAUUUAAAGAAGAUUCCUACAUAGAUACUGAAAUUUUUGAGACAAAAUAUUCAAGCUUGAAAGAUUUAACUAAAGCAACAAGUCAGUUUGCAGAUGAUGGUAAUUCAGAGCAACAACUUACAAGUGCUGUACUACCCUUACAUCAGAACCAAAAAAACUUAAUAUGUACAAAUGAAGUAUUAUUGAGAAGCCCUGCUGAAGAGCUAGUCAUUGCUGGUACAAAGCAUGAUGACACAGGUAUUUCUGGGCAAGAAGUAGUGAAACUUGUAUCUGCAAAUGAGCAGUCACUUAUGGUACCAGGUUUGCAGUUACCUUCUGUUGAAGAGGUAAGAAAUGCAAAUAAUUUUGAAACUAAAGAAAACUUUAAAGGAUCAGCUGAAGCUAUUACAGAUCUUACUUCAGAAAAUGAACAAGUGUCAAAUAAAGUUCUAAAAGAAUCAGUAACUUUACCUUUGAAAUCUUCAGAUGGUGCUUUAGAUACACCCACAAAAUCUUUAACAUCCAGAUCUUCAAAUGAAUCAGUAAAUGUAGAUUCUCAAAUUUCACUAGAAGCAUUGGAUCCACGAACAAAAUCUUCAGGUUCAAAAAUUGCUGAGGAAAUGAUAAAGUCUGCAGUAAACUGUGUAGUUUCUGGAAUCCCAGAUAAACGUGAAAGUUGGCCUAAAACAUCAUCAGAAUCAAGAACUUUGCAGGAACAUGUAAAUGCUGAGAAACAGUCUGAUUCUAUUGAGAAGCCACAUUUGGUAAACCAAAAUUCUGAUCACCAAAGGGAAUCUAUUCAAACCACUGUUGACAAUUUGGAAAAAAGUCUGCUCUAUUCUCCUCCUCCUCGGCCAUCAGUCUGUGAUGUUGAAGAUGAUUCUGAGACUAUUUACUCAGAAGUGUCUGAUGUAAGUUCAUCUAUUUUAGGACCAAUUAGUUUCCACACAUUAUUAGACAGAAAUUAUCCCCAAGACAGACACAGCUCAGAAACAGAAGGAUUAACUAGUUAUAAAGGCUAUGAUGCUUGUUCUAAACUGGGUGAAGACUUACUCCGAAUGUUCUUGGAAGAAAUAAACUCCGAUGUUGUUAUCAGAGUAGGAGAUAAAGAUAUUAGGGCCCACAAGUGUAUCUUGGUGACUCGGAGCAAAUACUUUGAGGUCAUGUUGAAAGGGGAUUGGAGUGAAAGUACAAAUGACAUCAUCACGCUAAAAGGGUAUAGCUAUUCAGCAGUCCAUUUUGUUCUGUGUCACAUAUACAGUGGAGCUAUCAAUUUGCCAAAGGAUGUCAACAUUGCUGAGUUAGCCCAACUCUCUGAUAUGUUAGCCCUGGAUAGCUUGAAGGAGGUGGUGGUUUUCAAUUUGAAAAUGAAUUAUUGUCACUUUUUUCACAAGCCUUGUAAUCAUUGUAUUGUUGGAGUGGCAGAAUGUUUGCCCCUCACAGCCACAUGUGGGUUACAAGAGCUGCAGAACAAGGCUAUCCAUUGGAUCGGGAAGUAUUUCGUCAGGAUAUGGACACAAAAAGCAUUUGCUACUCUUCCAAAUGACUUCCUCGAGAAAUGUUACAAAAGUGCUCUUCAGAAUUUAACAGUUGAAACAACAGUGGAGAUGCUGCUUAGUUGUGAUCGUCUGAUGACUUCACUGCCACAUAUUAAGUGGGCUGAACCGGUUUUUGGCUUAGUGACACGUCUGAUUGAAGAUUCUAUAAGUUUUACGGCUCUCAAUUUUGAUAAAGUGUUGACUAGUGAUGGAUUUUUAGCUUUAGGAAAGGGCCUGAGUUGGAAUGUGACAGCUGUAGAGGACAAUAUUUGUACAGCGGUAGAAAAGUUGACUCCAAAUGUUGCUUGCAGUACCUAUGUACAAUUGAGUCAUCUGUUACCCAUGGCAGAGUCACAGAACUCCCAGGGAUUAGGGGAUUGGACACAGCUGCAGUUAUUGUAAUUGAAUUUGAAAAGCCAACAGCACCACCACCACGAUUGUCAAGUUUACUGCAGAAAUCCAAGAAGACGCGAGGAGGAGGAGAUGGCUUAGAUUCCGGUGAUAAAUAUGCUACGUAUCCUGUUAAAUCAAAAGAUAAGUUGAAAAAUGAACCUAAACAGGGAAAGGAACUGUUGCCUAAGCAAGACACUACAUUAGUUCCUUUUAAAAAAAACGAGUUUCCUGAUGAGCAGUCAAAAAACAGAAAUGAUAUGACAUCCACUGUUGGGACAGUCCCUGCGAGUUCUCUAACGGAAUGGUCGAUGACUAAAUCCUGUCAUGAUCAAGAAGUAACUAAAAACUUGAAGAAUAAA